AUUGAACGCUGGCGGCAGGCUUAACACAUGCAAGUCGAGAGGGGUGAUGGUGCUUGCACUAUCACUUCGCGGCGGACGGGUGAGUAAUGCUUAGGAAUCUGCCUAUUAGUGGGGGACAACAUCUCGAAAGGGAUGCUAAUACCGCAUACGUGCUACGGGAGUAAGCAGGGGAUCACUUGUGACCUUGCGCUACUAGAUGAGCCGAAGUCGGCUUAGCUAGUUGGUGGGGUAAAGGCCUAACAAGGCGACGAUCUGUAGCGGGUCUGAGAGGAUGAUCCGCCAGACUGGGACUGAGACACGGCCCAGACUCCUACGGGAGGCAGCAGUGGGGAAUAUUGGACAAUGAGGGGAACCCUGAUCCAGCCAUGCCGCGUGUGUGAAGAAGGCCUUAUGGUUGUAAAGCACUUUAAGCGAGGAGGAGGCUCUUUUGGUUAAUACCCAAGAUGAGUGGACGUUACUCGCAGAAUAAGCACCGGCUAACUCUGUGCCAGCCGCCGCCGUAA
This 503-nucleotide ribosomal RNA is filed under the name uncultured bacterium. Its description in RNAcentral is "partial 16S ribosomal RNA". It matches the Rfam family "Bacterial small subunit ribosomal RNA", at positions 30 to 523 of the family's 1533-position model. The record is from RNAcentral.